AACGACUCUCGGCAACGGAUAUCUCGGCUCUCGCAUCGAUGAAGAACGCAGCGAAAUGCGAUACUUGGUGUGAAUUGCAGGAUCCCGCGAACCAUCGAGUUUUUGAACGCAAGUUGCGCCCGAAGCCUUCUGGCCGAGGGCACGUCUGCCUGGGUG
This 156-nucleotide ribosomal RNA is filed under the name Euphorbia peplus. RNAcentral describes it as "5.8S ribosomal RNA". It matches the Rfam family "5.8S ribosomal RNA". Rfam says of the family: 5.8S ribosomal RNA (5.8S rRNA) is a component of the large subunit of the eukaryotic ribosome. It is transcribed by RNA polymerase I as part of the 45S precursor that also contains 18S and 28S rRNA. The record is from RNAcentral. Lineage: Eukaryota; Viridiplantae; Streptophyta; Magnoliopsida; Malpighiales; Euphorbiaceae. RNAcentral also lists the same sequence under 9 other names.